CCCCUCUCAGGAUCACACCUGGAGAGUUCCUAGUACUCUACCAGUCUCAACUACAGGAGGGAGAGGCAGGCAGAGGCAUAUCCAUUCCAUUCCUGGCUUGGGCAGUGGCUGGCGAAUGGAAGGCAAUCUGCUACAAGU
RNAcentral lists this small nucleolar RNA (138 nucleotides) under Ornithorhynchus anatinus (platypus). The record is from RNAcentral. Lineage: Eukaryota; Metazoa; Chordata; Mammalia; Monotremata; Ornithorhynchidae.